Molecule: ribosomal RNA, 489 nt
Filed under: Escherichia coli
Lineage: Bacteria; Pseudomonadati; Pseudomonadota; Gammaproteobacteria; Enterobacterales; Enterobacteriaceae
Description: bacterial SSU rRNA
Rfam family: Bacterial small subunit ribosomal RNA
Source: RNAcentral
UUGAUCCUGGCUCAGAUUGAACGCUGGCGGCAGGCCUAACACAUGCAAGUCGAACGGUAACAGGAAGCAGCUUGCUUCUUUGCUGACGAGUGGCGGACGGGUGAGUAAUGUCUGGGAAACUGCCUGAUGGAGGGGGAUAACUACUGGAAACGGUAGCUAAUACCGCAUAACGUCGCAAGACCAAAGAGGGGGACCUUCGGGCCUCUUGCCAUCGGAUGUGCCCAGAUGGGAUUAGCUAGUAGGUGGGGUAACGGCUCACCUAGGCGACGAUCCCUAGCUGGUCUGAGAGGAUGACCAGCCACACUGGAACUGAGACACGGUCCAGACUCCUACGGGAGGCAGCAGUGGGGAAUAUUGCACAAUGGGCGCAAGCCUGAUGCAGCCAUGCCGCGUGUAUGAAGAAGGCCUUCGGGUUGUAAAGUACUUUCAGCGGGGAGGAAGGGAGUAAAGUUAAUACCUUUGCUCAUUGACGUUACCCGCAGAAGAAGC